Molecule: RNA transcript, 1679 nt
Organism: Anopheles coustani
Lineage: Eukaryota; Metazoa; Arthropoda; Insecta; Diptera; Culicidae
Exons: 6
Source: RefSeq, a predicted model, not a curated record
AAAACAGGGAAAAACGAAUCGAAACCAACGUAGGCAAUAUGGAUGGAAAAAGUGUUCUGGUAGCCGAUAAUCUUGAUGCCGAAUCAAACGCAUUUUGUCGCCUUUGUGUGGAGUAUACUACGGAGCAAACACUAUUCGUUUCCAGUGCCGCAAUCGCUACCUUGUUCAAACGAAUAUUUGAGUGCACCGGUGUGCGGCUGAUAGAGUCGCCUGGCUUGCCGAAACGAAUUUGCGAUGUGUGCACAUCCCAGCUUGUAAUUUGUGAACGAUUCAUCAAGAAGUGUCGCGAGGCGGAUCAAAAAUGCGUCGAUUGGCGAAGCAAACGAGCAGCUGCACUGGUUGGCAAUCUUACUCCAGCUCCGGUAGCUCCGGGACAACAAUCAAAGCAAGAAUGUAAUACAAUGAAAUUAGAGAAGCUAGUAAAUGUAAACCCAACAGAUGGUAAAAGCGAAGAAGAGUUGUAUGUGGUUGAAGUUAUAGAUACACAUCAGGAAUACGAAAUUGAUAUCUCCGACAAUCAGGAUGUACCUGAAGAGGGCAUUGUAAAGCAGAAGAAAAAGGACGUACCCGUAGAAAUACAUAUCGGACAAAAUGCUACGACACUUAACAAAAAAGAGAAUAGGACUAGGGUAUCAAAAACACAAUGUCCUGAGUGCGGUAAAAUGCAGCAAAAUUUGAAGCAGCAUAUGCUUGUCCAUACAGGCGAAAAACGACACGUUUGCCCGUACUGCUCUAAAGCAUUCUCACAGAAAGGUAAUCUUACGCACCACAUAAACCAGCAUACGGGAAAUGCGCCGUACAAAUGCGAUCAGUGCGGUAAAUCCUUCACGGAUCCACAGUCAUUGCGUUCGCACAAGCUAGUACACACGGAUGAGCGCAGGUACGGCUGUGAAGAAUGUGGUGAUACAUUCAAGUACAAAAAUUCGCUUGCUGUGCACUUACGUGGACAUAAUCAGGACAUGAGAUUCUCGUGCGACAAAUGUAGGAGAUCAUUUAUUUCCAGCACGGGUCUCAAAAAGCAUAUGCGAACACACACCGGAGAACGACCCUACCCAUGCACGGAUUGUAAUAAAACGUUCAAAACGUCGAGCAAUCUGAGCUUGCACAAACUUUUGCACACAAAAGAACGACGCUUUCAGUGCGAUAUCUGCGAGAGGUGGUUUAGCUACAAGCAUGUCUUGAAGACGCACAUGAAUAUCCACCUGCGGGAGCGAAAUGGCGGACAAACGGAACGGCAAGAUGAUAUUGAAGGGUAACGAGGGGUAACGGGUAAACAUGUGCCAAAAACAUGAGGCGCGAAAAAAUAAUCCUCCAACAAUCAAAUGAUAUCGCCCAACCGGUUCCGUUAUCUCUCUUUCUUCGAAACACCCUUAGCGUUUGUUGAAGGAUGGUUGCGUUUCCGCGAACCGUAUCACCUGUAAAAACCUUCGAUUGUAUGGCAGUAGAUAUGCAAGACCGGAACAGGCGUGGGAAAAGCGCAAUGAAAUUGUACCCAUGUCGGCACGUUUGUUACGUUGGCCAAUGCUAAUUGUGCAAUAUGGUUUCACGGUGUGACCCGCAAGCAGUAUAAAAGACACUUCAGCGGCGUGCGAUGAGCCGUGUCCUCCCACACCGAAACACUACAGCGAACUUGGCUGCAAGCCAGUUCUAGAGGAAGGUCAAUGCUGCCCGAAACGGUA